UUUCCGUAGGUGAACCUGCGGAAGGAUCAUUAAAAAAUAGGACUUCCAAUGGGAGUUCAUUAAUAAUCCUACCCUUUGUGAAUUUGUUUGUUUGAAAUAAUUUUUUUCCAAAAAAAUUAUUGAAUGUCUUUCCCUGUUUUUGGUUGAAGCGUAAAAGUGGAGACCAAGCAGGGGAAUGGCAAACAUUAAUUUUUUUGAAAAAAGACCUUUUUUUAAAAUUAAACUUUUUGUAUUCAUUUGUCUAAAAUUAUUUUUAUAAUAUAAAAACAACUUUUGACAAUGGAUCUCUUGGUUCUCGCAACGAUGAAGAACGCAGCAAAAUGCGAUAAGUAAUGUGAAUUGCAGAAUACGUGAAUCCUCGAAUCUUCGAACGCAUAUUGCACUUUUUUAGUUUACUAAAAAAGUAUGUCUGUUUGAGUAUCAGUAAAAUAUUCUCAUAAAAAACUUUUUUUGUUUUUUAUGGUUAUGAGUGUUUUACAACGAUAAACAAGUUGUUUCACUUUAAAUUCUUUGAAAUUUAAAAAAUCGUUAAAACUAAUUUUAAAAUGAUUUUUUAAAAUUGGAUAAAAUUUUCCCGUAAAAAAGGAAUAACCUAAACAAUUUUAAAAAAUUUAAAAUUGGUUGAUUUUUUUAAAUCCCAAAAGGAAAAAAGUAAAAAUUAACUUGAUCUCAAAUCAGAUAAGAGUACCCGCUGAACUUAAGCAUAUCAAUAAGCGGAGGAAAAGAAACUAACUAGGAUUCCCUCAGUAACGGCGAGUGAAGCGGGAAGAGCUCAAAUUUGAAAUCUCCAAGGCUUUACCUUGACGAAUUGUAGUUUAAAGAAGUGUUUUCUGUUGAUAGUUUGGUAAAGUUCUUUGGAAUAGGACAUCAUAGAGGGUGAGAAUCCCGUAAUGACCAUUAUUUCAGCUGUGUGAUACACUUUCAAAGAGUCGGAUUGUUUGGGAAUGCAGUCCAAAAUGGGUGGUAAAUUUCAUCUAAAGCUAAAUAUUGGCGAGAGACCGAUAGCGAACAAGUACCGUGAGGGAAAGAUGAAAAGAACUUUGAAAAGAGAGUUAAACAGUACGUGAAAUUGUCAAAAGGGAAGCGUUUGACACCAGUGUUGUUUUCUCGAAAAUCAAUUAAAAAUGGCUGGAUUCUGUGUUGUAAGUGACCUUAACAGCUUUCUUGCACUUUUUUCUGUCCUUUUUAAUGCACUUUUCGUUUAACAAGUCAACAUCAGUUUCUUUUGUUGUAAAAGGGUCAUUGGAAGGUGGCUUUCUUUUCGGAGAAAGUGUUUAUAGCCUUUGGCUUCUGCAAUCGGAGAGACUGAGGUCUGCAGCGUAGAUCCUUCGGGGUUAGAUACAUUGUGCUAAGUUAUAGCCUUUCAUAGACAACUUGUUGACUAUGUUCAGUCUUGUAGCUUACUCGCUGUGCUAUUU
Molecule: unclassified non-coding RNA, 1418 nt
Filed under: uncultured Neocallimastigales
Lineage: Eukaryota; Fungi; Neocallimastigomycota; Neocallimastigomycetes; Neocallimastigales
Description: partial contains small subunit ribosomal RNA, internal transcribed spacer 1, 5.8S ribosomal RNA, internal transcribed spacer 2, and large subunit ribosomal RNA
Rfam family: Eukaryotic large subunit ribosomal RNA (bases 665-1418)
Source: RNAcentral